This is a long non-coding RNA of Limulus polyphemus (Atlantic horseshoe crab), 112 nucleotides long. RefSeq lists it as uncharacterized. NCBI's taxonomy places the organism in Eukaryota, Metazoa, Arthropoda, Merostomata, Xiphosura, Limulidae. The record is from RefSeq and is a predicted model, not a curated record. The transcript has 3 exons.
CCAAAUACAGCGUAAUUACUAAUUUUGAUAAGUUAUAGUGGAGAACUAUGGUAUUGAUAUAGUAAUUUAUGAUUUUUGGUUAUUUCAAAUGUAUAUAUAUAUAUAUAUAUAU